GUGUGGUGUGUGUGUGUGUGGUGUGGUGUGUGUGGUGUGGUGUGUGUGUAUAUGUGGUGUGGUGUGUGUAUGUGGUGUGUGUGUGGUGUGGUGUGUGUGUGUGUGUGGUGUGGUGUGUGUAUAUGUGGUGUGGUGUGGUGUGUGUGUGGUGUGGUGUGUGUGUGUGUGUGUGGUGUGGUGUGGGGUUUGUGUGGUGUGGGGUUUGUGUGGUGUAGUGUGUGGUGUUGUGUGGUGUGUAUAUGUGUUUUAAGUAAUAGUUUGCUUUUAAAAUAUGCAAAUCGCUGCUUUUACAAUAUUAUUUAAUUGGAAUUGUAAAAAUAUAAUUUCUUAGCACAAAUAAAUAAAUAAAUAAUAAAUAAAAUCUCUCCUAUGUUUCGUCACGCUCUUCCUGUUUCUGCUCUGGACUCUCUUGACCAAUCAACAUGAUGCAAAUGUACAUGACAGAGGUUAACAGGGACAGACUGCUGUAGUUUGGGGUUAACAGGGACAGGGACAGACUGCUGUAGUUUGGGGUUAACAGGGACAGUCUGCUGUAGUUUGGGGUUAACAGGGACAGGGACAGACUGCUGUAGUUUGGGGUUAACAGGGACAGGGACAGACUGCUGUAGUUUGGGGUUAACAGGGACAGCCUGCUGUACUUUGGGGUUAACAGGGACAGACUGCUGUAGUUUGGGGUUAACAGGGACAGGGACAGACUGCUGUAGUUUGGGGUUAACAGGGACAGACUGCUGUAGUUUGGGGUUAACAGGGACAGGGACAGACUGCUGUAGUUUGGGGUUAACAGGGACAGUCUGCUGUAGUUUGGGGUUAACAGGGACAGGGACAGACUGCUGUAGUUUGGGGUUAACAGGGACAGGGACAGUCUGCUGUAGUUUGGGGUUAACAGGGACAGACUGCUGUAGUUUGGGGUUAACAGGGACAGGGACAGACUGCUGUAGUUUGGGGUUAACAGGGACAGCCUGCUGUACUUUGGGGUUAACAGGGACAGGGACAGACUGCUGUAGUUUAGGGUUAACAAGGACAUACUGCUGUAGUUUGGGGUUAACAGGGACAGACUGCUGUAGUUUGGGGUUAACAGGGACAGACUGCUGUAGUUUGGGGUUAACAGGGACAGACUGCCGUAGUUUGGGGUUAACAGGGACAGACUGCUGUAGUUUGGGGUUAACAGGGACAGACUGCUGUAGUUUGGGGUUAACAGGGACAGACUGCUGUAGUUUGGGGUUAACAGGGACAGACUGCCGUAGUUUGGGGUUAACAGGGACAGACUGCCGUAGUUUGGGGUUAACAGGGACAGACUGCCGUAGUUUGGGGUUAACAGGGACAGAGGUUAACAGGGACAGACUGCUGUAGUUUGGGGUUAACAGGGACAGAGGUUAACAGGGACAGACUGCUGUAGUUUGGGGGUUAACAAGGACAGACUGCUGUAGUUUGGGGUUAACAGGGACAGAGGUUAACAGGGACAGACUGCUGUAGUUUGGGGGUUAACAAGGACAGACUGCUGUAGUUUGGGGUUAACAGGGACAGAGGUUAACAGGGACAGACUGCUGUAGGUUGGGGUUAACAGGGACAGACUGCUGUAGUUUGGGGUUAACAGGGACAGAGGUUAACAGGGACAGACUGCUGUAGUUUGGGGGUUAACAAGGACAGAGGUAAACAGUGGACAGAUUGUCGUUUGUUGCUAACAGCAACAGUGAAACAGAACACUGAUUUUUGCUGAUUCUGUUUUCUGAUGAGUGUUUUGAGGUUCGUUCCUCCUUGUUCCUUGUCAAUCAUUGGCUCAUUGAUGAAAUUAGCAUUACGACAAUAUCUUUAAUUAAAUAAUUCAAAAACCUUUUAUUAAUUGUAAUUGCAGACAGAAUUUGACAAUCAGGAAGAUAACGCAUCAGAGUAAGUUCUGCAUCAAAGGUCCCUUAGUUAUUUUAUUAGACCCUGAAUCCGGCCCUCGCGACGUCACUGCCCACGUCAUUAUAUUUCUGAGCGUUCUGAGCCCUCUCCUGUACUCCCUGUUCACCCACGACUGCAUGGCCACGCACGCCUCCAACUCAAUCAUCAAGUUUGCGGACGACACAACAGUGGUAGGCUUGAUUACCAACAACGACGAGACGGCCUACAGGGAGGAGGUGAGGGCCCUCGGAGUGUGGUGUCAGGAAAGUAACCUCACACUCAACGUCA
Molecule: long non-coding RNA, 2172 nt
Organism: Oncorhynchus keta (chum salmon)
Lineage: Eukaryota; Metazoa; Chordata; Actinopteri; Salmoniformes; Salmonidae
Exons: 3
Source: RefSeq, a predicted model, not a curated record